Molecule: ribosomal RNA, 256 nt
Filed under: uncultured bacterium
Lineage: Bacteria
Description: partial 16S ribosomal RNA
Rfam family: Bacterial small subunit ribosomal RNA
Source: RNAcentral
UAAAACGUAGGGAACAAGCGUUAUCCGGAUUUACUGGGCGUAAAGCGCAUGUAGGUGGCAUUGAAAGUUGGACGUGAAAACUCCUGGCUUAACUGGGAGAGGUCGUACAAAACUACAAAGCUAGAGGAUGGAAGAGGAGAGUGGAAUUCCCGGUGUAGUGGUGGAAUGCGUAGAUAUCGGGAGGAACACCAGUGGUGAAAACGGCUCUCUGGUCCGUACCUGACACUGAGAUGCGAAAGCGUGGGGAGCGAACGGG